GAUGAAGAACGUAGCGAAAUGCGAUAAGUAGUGUGAAUUGCAGAAUUCCGUGAAUCAUCGAAUCUUUGAACGCACAUUGCGCCUUCUGGUAUUCCGGAAGGCAUGCCUGUUCGAGAGUCAUUAACAACCGUUUCGAUCCCUUUCUUUCAGAAAUUACAAAGAGGAAAAGGGUUUGGUUAUGGUGGAGGAGGGAAAGGGAGCGUUUAGCCUGUAAAAAAAGAGGCUGUGUUCCGCCUCCCCCCCAAAAUUGUACAGGCGGUCGUGUGCGCCCACGCAUCGAGGUGUUGUAAAAGCUGCCACGGCACUUUUCACCUGUGCAGUGCGAGAUUGGCCAGCCGGUUUAAAAACCCCUCCAAACAAUCAAAGGUUGACCUCGGAUCAGGUAGGGAUACCCGCUGAACUUAAGCAUAUCAAUAAGCGGUGGA
RNAcentral lists this unclassified non-coding RNA (425 nucleotides) under soil metagenome. Its description in RNAcentral is "partial contains 5.8S ribosomal RNA, internal transcribed spacer 2, and large subunit ribosomal RNA". The stretch from base 1 to 120 matches the Rfam family "5.8S ribosomal RNA", at positions 35 to 154 of the family's 154-position model. The record is from RNAcentral.